RNAcentral lists this ribosomal RNA (506 nucleotides) under uncultured bacterium. RNAcentral's name for it is "bacterial SSU rRNA". It matches the Rfam family "Bacterial small subunit ribosomal RNA", at positions 8 to 502 of the family's 1533-position model. The record is from RNAcentral.
AGAGUUUGAUCCUGGCUCAGAUUGAACGCUGGCGGCAGGCCUAACACAUGCAAGUCGAGCGGAAACAGAGAGUAACUUGUUACUUUGCUGUCGAGCGGCGGACGGGUGAGUAAUGCUUGGGAAACUGCCCAGUCGAGGGGGACAACCAUUGGAAACGAUGGCUAAUACCGCAUACGCCCUACGGGGGAAAGAAGGGGACUCUUCGGAGCCUUUCGCGAUUGGAUGUGCCCAAGUGGGAUUAGCUAGUUGGUGAGGUAAAGGCUCACCAAGGCGACGAUCCCUAGCUGGUUUGAGAGGAUGAUCAGCCACACUGGAACUGAGACACGGUCCAGACUCCUACGGGAGGCAGCAGUGGGGAAUAUUGCACAAUGGGCGCAAGCCUGAUGCAGCCAUGCCGCGUGUAUGAAGAAGGCCUUCGGGUUGUAAAGUACUUUCAGCGAGGAGGAAAGGGUAGUAGUUAAUAACUGCUAUCUGUGACGUUACUCGCAGAAGAAGGACCGCUAACU